Molecule: ribosomal RNA, 497 nt
Filed under: uncultured bacterium
Lineage: Bacteria
Description: partial 16S ribosomal RNA
Rfam family: Bacterial small subunit ribosomal RNA
Source: RNAcentral
GACGAACGCUGGCGGCGUGCCUAAUACAUGCCAGUUGAGCGAUGAAGAUUGGUGCUUGCACCAAUUUGAAGAGCAGCGAACGGGUGAGUAACGCGUGGGGAAUCUGCCUUUGAGCGGGGGACAACAUUUGGAAACGAAUGCUAAUACCGCAUAACAACUUUAAACAUAAGUUUUAAGUUUGGAAGAUGCAAUUGCAUCACUCAAAGAUGAUCCCGCGUUGUAUUAGCUAGUUGGUGAGGUAAAGGCUCACCAAGGCGAUGAUACAUAGCCGACCUGAGAGGGUGAUCGGCCACAUUGGGACUGAGACACGGCCCAAACUCCUACGGGAGGCAGCAGUAGGGAAUCUUCGGCAAUGGACGAAAGUCUGACCGAGCAACGCCGCGUGAGUGAAGAAGGUUUUCGGAUCGUAAAACUCUGUUGGUAGAGAAGAACGUUGGUGAGAGUGGAAAGCUCAUCAAGUGACGGUAACUACCCAGAAAGGGACGGCUAACUACGUG